AGCAUUCUAUUGAGGCUUCCCCAAAGGUGGAUGUCCUGGAUAGUGACCGUAUGGUGGCUCAUGUGCUGGAGGCUCAUAAACUGGUGGUUUAGGUUUUGGCUUUUCUUCCUUUGGUGGUGCAUAAACUGGUGGCUUAGGUGGUUUUGGCUCAUAUAUUGGUGGGUUGUUGGGAGGUUGAUACAUUGGUGGCUUGGGUUCUGGUUUUUCUUUCUUUGGAGGUGUAUAAACCGGUGGCUUUGGUGGCUUAGGUUCGUACAUUGGAGGUUUUUUUGGAGGUUCAUACAUUGGUGGUUUGGGUUCAGGUUUCUCUUUCUUUGGAGGUGUAUAAACCGGUGGUUUUGGUGGCUUAGGUUCGUACAUUGGAGGUUUUUUUGGAGGUUCAUACACUGGUGGUUUGGGUUCAGGUUUCUCUUUCUUUGGAGGUGUAUAAACCGGUGGCUUUGGCUCGGGCUUCUCCUUCUUUGGAGGUUCAUAUACGGGUGGUUUGGGUUCAGGUUUCUCUUUCUUUGGAGGUGUAUAAAUCGGUGGUUUUGGCUCAGGUUUCUCCUUCUUUGGAGGUUCAUAUACUGGUGGUUUAGGUUUAGGCUCCUCUUUCUUUGGAGGUGUAUAAACUGGUGGCUUUGGCUCAGGCUUCUCCUUCUUUGGAGGUUCAUACAUUGGUGGUUUGGGUCCAUGCUUCUCUUUCUUUGGAGGUGCAUAAACCGGUGGCUUAGGUUCAGGCUUCUCCUUUUUUGGUGGUUCAUACACUGGUGGCUUAGGUUCAUAUGGUGGUGGUUUCACCUUGGGAGGCUUGAAUACAGGAGUAGGGGGUUUCCCAUAAUUUGGUGACUCAUAGGUACCAAAUGUGGGAGUGGUGAGAGUCACCACUCCAAGUAGGAAUACUAGCAAGUGUGUUGUAGACAUCAUUGAGUCUUGGCUUUCCAUGGUGCCAUGAGAAGGGUUCUUUUUAUAGUAGUUUUGGAGCGCUGUUGUUAGCGCAUAUGUCAAAAAAUUUAUUUGUUUACGUACCUUUGUAAAUAGUCUGCUAGAUGUUAUUAAAUCUUUUAAAUUAUUCAUGAAUGUAAUAGGGUCCAUUUAGGUACAAGUUAGUUGAAAUUUUGGACUAUGGAUACGCAAGACUGAGUCAUGAUUGAAGAAAAUUAUAAAAUAUAUCAUAGGUUCUUAUACUUUUCAAAAAUUUAGAAUUUAAUUCUUAUAAUUUUAUUUUUAAAUUUUAGGUCUUACUUUUAAUCAUUUUUUUAUUAAAUUUGUUGAUGUGAUUUAAAAAAAAAAACAUUUGGUCGUAAUGUAACUAAAUUUGAUCAAGAGUUGGGUAGCCCAAUAGGCUUAGUCCGACUUGAGUCAGGCUUGGACAAAUAUUUUUACACCUCAAGCUGGCUCAGCCUAGUCAUAAUUCAAUUUAAAUAAGAAAAAAAUAUUUUUAUUAUUUAAAUUUAAUUAUAAAACUAUAUAAAUAUCAAUUAAAAAUAUUUUUAAAUAUUUUAUUAAUUUUUAAAUAGUGAAACGAGCUUUUUGGAUGGGCCAGCCCAAAAAAGGGUUUGGGCUUUAAUUUUUUUGGAAUCCGGCAUUGGCUUGGCCCAUGGGCGGCUCAAAAUGUUACUGAAAAAUGAUAUUGUAAUGAAUCCGAAUUUAACAUUAAUUUUAAUAGUUGAACCUGGAUUUUGAAAUUUAAAAAGUAGAGAGACUAAAUUUCUAAAAGUAAAAAUACAAAAAUUAAAUCUUAAAUUUAUAAAUAGUACAAAAACUUAUGACAUAUUUUAACUUUGAAGAAAAACUUAGGAUCACAUAUGUGUUCUUUUUUAUACAAUGCUUAGAACUAUUCAUAGUUCCUCCCUAACCCAUAAAUAGAAGGAUAAUGAGUUCUAACACAUUCAAACCCAUGUUCUCUUGUAUUGAUAACAAUAUCCAUACUAAUUGGAUAAAGACUCAAUCAGUAAAAUUAAAUCAUUACUUAUAUCUUUAAAUUAUGUAUACAUAUUUAUAUUUACUUCUCUUUCCAUGAGGUAUUUAUAUUUACUUUCUUUAUAAGGCCAAGAAGAUCGAGACAAGAACAACAGAUAAAUUGACGCAUAAAAUCUAAAAUGUCGCUAAAUUGACUGUAGGAAACAUUGUCGGUAAAUUUAGUGUUUCAUCCGGGAUUUUAUUUAAUCUCAAUUGGUAAGCUUUAACUACUCAUAAAUUUUUUUGGGACAAGAAAUUAAAUUUAUUUAAAAGAAAGUAAAGAGAGUUUAAUGCUCUUAAUUUUUCUUUAAAUUACUUAGUUUUUAUUUAUUGCAAUUUAAGAAAAAAUUAGGAAAAAGAUGUAAUAUUUUUUAAGAUGCGAAAUAUCAUUUCUAUCUUUCCAUAAAUUGUUUUAGAAAAUGGGAUAUGAUUUGAAAUAAAUCAAAAUAAUCAUUUGUUUUAUUAUUUUCCAUAGUUUAACCACACAAAACUUGGGAUAUGAUCUAUUUUUAAAGGAUUGGAAGGAUAAAAGGUAUUGUAUAGAAAAAAAUUGGUAAAUAAUUAUUUGUCUCUUUUAAUUUUGAAAUUGAGUAAAUUAAUUAUUUAAAAAAAUUGAAGCAAUUUAAUUCUUGUUAAUUUUGAAAGCGAGUAAUUAAAGAUAAUUAAUUACUGCAUUAAAUAUUUUGUCAAUUGUAAAUAAUAUUGGUUGGUAUAAUAACAAAUUUAAUAUUCAAAGUUUGCACAUUUUGUCAAUUUGAUAACAAUUUAACAAAUUUAGCUACUAACAUUUACAUAAAUAUUGAGACUAAAUUUAUUGAAACUUUUAAAAUCUAGAUCAAAUUUGUUGUAGGCCAAUUUUAGGCCUGUUUACAUUACAUAAGCCCAUUUACAUUAAACCCCAAGACCCAAAUAUCUAACCCAAACCCGAAUGGCCCACUACAACCCAUUCCAACCUAAUACCCAUCUAAAUUAACCCACAUAAAACCCAAAUACCCACAACCCAUUACAAACCAAACCCAAUACAGCAAGCCCAAUAUCAUUAACCCCAACUACCCGAAACCCUAGCCCCAUUUUCGGCUCUCACUUGCCUCUGCCACCACCUGCCCACUGCAACCCCUUCUCCUGGCGCCACCUGCCCCGUAGUCACCUCCACCGUUCACCCACCACCUGCAAAGCAAACAGAGCACGUAAUAGCAACCAAAAAGAGAAACAGACAGUAACAAAUCAGAUAUAAAAACCGAAUGGAAACCAUAGCAAAGGGGUUCCUUCUUUUUUAGUGUUUUUAUUUUUUUUCGAAUAUUCAAGAAGAAAUCAAUACAUAAGUUAGAUUUCAAUACAUACAAAAGCGGUGAUUCGAACACCCGAAAUUAGAGAAUCGAACAAACGAAAAUAUCAGACAUUAGAAACCAAGGUGAUUGUUUAUUUUUCGAAUCGAUUUUUUCUUCAUCAUACUCUUAAACAUAUAUAAUAUAUAUACAUACAUAUAUUCGAAAAUAAAAAAAAAAACAAAACAAAAAAAAUAAUUUUACCUUUUCCGGCCACCGCGCACGGUGGCCAACACCGACGCCGACGACAGUCCGAUGACCGGACGGUGAUCGGCCCAUGGCCGGAUUCCCUCCCCCUCUCCCUCUUCUCUCCCUUUUUUUUCUUUUUUCCCCGUUUAAAUGAUUUUUUUUAAAAAAAAUUGUCUUUUAUAGGGACCAAAACGGUGCGUUUUGGUCCCCCUCCGUUUUAACGAAAAACGACGUCGUUUUGGCCCUGGGUCUGGUCGACUCGACCCGCUCCAGCUAGGAUCCGCGUGUUUUUGCUCUUAGGGGCUAUUUGCAUAAUCGGUCCUUCCGCAUUUUUAGUGUUUUAAAUCAGGUUUAUAUUUAUUUACAAAUUGGCUCUGAAGUUUGUUAUGAUUCUCAAAUUGAUCCUCAGUGAUGGCAUCGUUUUAAAGGUUUUUGAAAAUUACUCUUUUGGCCCCUCCAGGUUAGCGCAUGUUGUAAUUUCAUCCUUUUCUUUUAUUUUUAUUUCAAAUCAACCCUAAAACUUUGGUUUUUAUUCAAUUUUAGUCCUUUUAGUUUAUUUUCAUUCCUUUAUUAUUAAAUUAAUUAAUUUUGAUAAUUUUUUUAUUAUUAUAUUUACUAUUAUUUAUUGUUAUUGGUAUUAUUAUAUGUUUUAUUAUAUACGUAUGAAUAUACUUUUUUUACCAUUUUACAUUAUUAUAUUUAUUAUUUAUUUCUAACAUAUUAUUAUUUUAUUUUUUUAUAUCAUCAUUAUAUUUAAUUUGUGCUUAUAUGUUAUAUUUUCUCUUUUUACUUUUAUAUUUACUAUUUGCAUUAUAUUUACUUAUUAUUAUUAUUAAUUAUGUAUAUAUAUUUUUAAAUCCCAUGUUAUGUAUAGACAUUUCUAAUAUGUAUUUCUUUAAAUGAUAUUAUUACAUAUAUAUUUUAGUACAUAUAUAUGUGUACUUGUGUGAAUAUUCUUUUAGCAUGUGCUACAUAUAUAUUUUUUUUAUUCUAUAUUAUGUAUGUAUAUUUCUAAUAUUAUAUUAUGUUUUCAUAUAUAUAUAUUAUGUAUAUACUUUGGUAUCAUAAUUAUAUAUUUUUAUACGAUCUUAUGUACAUAUAUUUACACGCAUAUAUUUUCUUUUAUAUAUUAUGUAUAUGCAUUUUUUAUAUAUGUAUAUGUUUAUACUAUAUUAGUUAGUUUUAUACUAUCUUAUAUGUACAUUUUGAAUACUAUGCUAUGUAUGUAUUCUAAAUACUACAUUUUAUAUAUAUUAUGCGUACUUCAAUACUAUUAUUAUGUAAUAUAUAUAUACACAUAUAUACGCCUAUGUAGGUGUAGUAUUAUUAGUAUUUUUAAUAUUACAUUUUCCGUCACCUUACAUAUUAUUAUAUAACAUAUGUAUAUAUAUAAUCCAUUGUUUUCUUUCGUGUUUAAUGUUAUUAUUAUCGUGCAUAAUAUCAAACACAUCGUGAAUACUUUAUAGUUAUUAUUUUAUCAUCCGCUUCAUAUAUUCGUAAGUCGCCUUUUAUUACAGCAUUGUUAUAAGUUUCUAUUGUUUUUGAUAAAAAAAUAUUCUUAUUCAUGAUUUAAAUCAAUUUCAAUAAGCAAGGCAAUGUACUGAUUUAACAUUAAGUCAUCAAUUUCAUCGCUAUGUUGGGUGAACAUCAAUCGACUCGUGUUAAAGACGGAACACUCUUCUAAAAAAUCCAAAAAACUAAAAAAUUCUCGUCUUUUCAAUCAGAUCACGAUUAAAUGUUACAUUGAACUCGUAUUUUUGAAAAUCAAGACAACAUGUGUUUAACAAGAUACCAAUUUUGGGCGUCGCGAGGGUGCUAACACCUUCCUCGCGCGUAACCGACUCCCGAACCCUACUUUUCCUCUGGCUUUUAAUGUAGACCUAAACUCGGCUUUCUUUUCAUUUAAAAAAUGAAUUUUCUCUCAAAAGAAGAAUGAUUUAUUAGGUGUCCAAUCACACCUAGAAAAAAGAUCGGUGGCGACUCCCUUUUUAUUUUAAAAUCAAACUUCAGUUUUCAAGUUUUCACUAAAUCGCCACAAUUAGCGACCAAGCUAAAAUUUUUACGUCGCUACAGCUGGCAACUCCAAUGGAAAAAUAUUUUUGAGAGUCGAGUCAAAUUAAAUGUGUAUUGUCAAAAUUUUCAAAAUUCCUUGUUCAAAUUAGUAUUUAGUCGUGAUCCCAAAAUUGUGUUUUUGAAAAGUCAUGCAUAUGCAUCAUGUUGUAAAUAUUCUUCUAACUUGUUUUAGCUUGUUGAUUUUCAGCUCUCAGUUUUUUAGUUUUUGUAGUUUAGUUUUUAAAUAAAACAUAAAAGAUUAUGAGUUUUUCCCCACACACCGUGCACUUGCAUUUUGCAUAACAAGAGCUCUCUACCCAGGCUCUGUCCGUUUAAGUGAAAGUAAACGCUACGCUUUCGUGAGUUAACUUGUCCCUCUACACAGGCUAGUGAAUACUUUCGGAUUACAUAUGACUUAUGCUUUCAUGAGUUAACUUGUCCCUCCGCAUAGGCAUAAGUAAAUGUAAUCCCUCGAAUUGAACUCGUGAGCCUGUGAUGGGCUACGAUCGAUGCUUCAUACUAGUCUUAGUAGACGAUAGUGCGAACAAUUCGAGUACCUGUCUAGAACCGAAAUCGCAUAUGGUGAACUGUAUGAGCCACCUAAUUAGAGCCAUGCCGAACCUCUGUCCGUUAAUAGUCACCAAAAUAAGUACAUGGGAGAAAUGUCUCUUACCUUUUAUUUCUUUGGCAUUUAUACUUUUUAUUUGAAUUUUCUGUAAUUUAUAUUUGUUGUGAUUACUAACCAAGGUUGUUUAUCUUUAUUAUUAUUUUUCAUCAUGCAUUAUAGGCAUCAUAUUAGGAAGGUGUUGACUAGAGAUCGGUUGCCAAAAAAUGGGUUUCUAAUGGAAGAGUCAAUUAUACAAACAACUGAGAAGAAUGCCGUGGUUCGGGACUGGUCUCUAAAAACUCAGAAAGAAAAAGGGGAUAGUCUAGCGGAGGGAUGUAUUGCCAAUCUGCCCGAGCACGUAACUGUGAAUGUUUGCCAGAAUAACCUUGAAGAUUUGGUUCGGGUUUGGAAUUAGUGGGACUCGGACACUAGGGGUAUCUUCACUGAGAGGUACGGGGAUAUAGCCAGCCUAAUCGCCAUCAACAUAGAUGAAAGAUUGAUUCAGGCCAUGAUCAGAUUUUGGGAUCUGGCUUACCAGUGUUUCAUUUUCAAUCAAGAAGAUAUAACCCCAACCGUGGAAGAGUACGCUGCUUUACUUCGUAUUGAUAAUGUGCAAUUCUACAAGAUUUAUGUGAAGGAGCCCAAGCCGAUGAUUUUCAAGAAAAAGCUGGUAAAGUUGACUGGCUUGACCGACACGUGGGCCGAGAAACAAAUAAAGAAAAAGAAUGAAAUCAGCUGCAUUCCGUGGUUUUCUCUACGGGAUUUAGUCUUAAAUCAUCCCGAUAUUUUGAAAAAAGUGAAUCUAUUCGCUUUGGCCAUUUACGGAUUGGUCGUCUUUCCAAAAGUUCUGGGACAUAUAGAGGUUGCAGUAGUGGACUUCUUUGAAAAGUUAAAGCAAGGAAUCAACCCUAUCCCAACUAUUUUGGCCAAGACCUUCAGAUCCCUAAGCAGUUGUAGGAGAAAAAGGGAAGGAUGCUUUAUCGGAUGCGCGCAGUUACACAAUGUCUGGAUUUUGAGCCAUUUCUGGAAAGUAGAGCACACACCGUACCACAUGUUUUCAAAAACUUUCGCUCCGUUAGAAGCCUAUCUUGAGAAAGAAUGGCCAAGGGAUGUCACCGAAGAGUAUUGUGUUUUAGUUUUUUAGAACCUUCGAGCUGAAGAUGUAACCUGGAGAGCACCGUGGAUCCGCCCUUCGGUUCUGUUAUACAAGGUUGAAAAUCAAGAUUGUGUGCCACUACUCGGGUUAUGGGGAGGAAUUGGAUACGCUCCGUUAAUGGUUCAAAGGUAAUUUUUUUCACAACAAUUCAUACCCGCCACCGGAGGAUUAGCACAGUCUGAGUUUGCUUUUGCAGGUGAGGGAUAUAUGAAGAGGGUCUGAGAUACCGCAAAGUCUUGGAAGAGAAUUCAUCUCAUGGAGUUAGCUCUAUACGCUGACACCCUCACCCAAGAUUACGUCAUAUGGAGAAAGCAACGAAUGAAUAGUCAACACAUCUCGUCGACAAAUUACACUGUCCAGAAUCCUUUAUCGGAAGAAGUGCCAUCUAAGCUAGAAAUGGCAAGACAAGAAUUUGAACGGAGAAGGCCAAGAUACCUCAGGACCUUAGUGCUCUUUAGGAGGAAACUACCAACUGAAGAUCAACGUUCAGAUUGAAAGAUCCAGAACUGAGAAAGCGCAAAAAGAAGCUGAAGUUGUAAAAAAUGACUUAAGGGACCUUCAUUUGGAAAAUAAAAAGUUAAGAGGCACAAUAAAAAACAGUAGGUUGGGCAAAUCGUCAACAGCAUGGAAGGAGGAAAUUAGCAACAUCAAGGGAGGGAUGGAAUUCUGAAAAUGGAAAGCGAAGAAAGAAGAAGAAAAGGCUGCGCGGGCUAUGAUGGAGCUAAGGAAGAAGAACGCUGAAUAUAAAGCUGUGUCUGCCGAGGUAAUGACUAGUCGAUCUAAAUGUCAAGAACUAAAAGAGAGGAUACGAGAUUUAGAAGACAUGCUACAAGAUCGUUAACAACAGCUAGAUACUCUCUUGGAGGCUUUGGAAGAAAAGAAUAGUCAGUAUGAUAGAGACAUUUGUGCUUAUGAAGAGGGCCUUCAAGAAAAAGGAAUGCAACUUAGCUAUUUGAUCAAUGAAAUUCGUAGGGUAGCCAUGCACGUGGUACAACUAUCGGAAGAAGCUGAAACUCUCAUUUGCUAAUUCCCUCCAAGUCGAAGAUCAAACAUAUCAGAAUUCUUAGCACGAGUAAAGAAAUAUGGCAAUAUAGCUAGGAAGUUUGUGUAAUGGCUUAAUCGAAAAUGGAAAAAUAUUUUGUAAUGGACUCUUUUGAUAAAUGAAAUGCCUAAAUAGGGGCCGUCUUGAAGUCAACACUAAAUUCUUGCAUAUUUAUUCAUGACUAACAUUCAUUUGACAUUUAUGCAUUCAUUCAUUUAUUCAUUCAUUGCAUAUCCCAUAAUCAUUCGCUGAGGUUAAAACAUACAAUUCGCAGUUGUAAUACCACAAGUCUGGAACCACGUCAUUCGUAUAGGACAUGCCGAUAAGCUAGAGUAAUGGAGGUUGAAUUCAAUUAAAGGAUUGAAAGGAUGGAAAGAAUCCAAAGGGAAUUACAAGAGCAGUUGGCCAAGUCGCAGCAAGAGACAAGAGAUUUAAUAGUGAGAUAUCAAGAAGAAUCGCUCGAACAGAAGGAUCAAAUGGCCAAGAUGAUGGAAAUGAUGUCAGCUCUGGAAAAAGGAAAGGGACCUAUGAACCCUGACGUUGUGGAACCACAGUCAAGGGUUAACCUCGAUCAGGAUCCGCCCCAUCCGCCAGGAUUUACUCCACCGCACGCCUAUUUAACACAAAGAGGGUACGCUCAAUGGGAACCUACAAGCCUGGAGCAACGACUUGCGCCACCUACUAAUCUGGGGCAAGGAAUGUUCGUAUCAAACCCGGGGGCUAGUCCUAUUAAUCCACUCGUUCUAGAUUUGGACGAUUCGGUAGAGAUAGCCAGGUUGAAAUUGGAUGAUCAUGAUGCAAAGGAGAAAUAUAGGAGCCUAAAGGAAAGACUCAAAGCGAUAGAAUACACUGAAGUCUUCUCUGCACUGAGCGUUAAAGAGCUCAAUUUGGUACCCGAUUUAGUUUUGCCUCCAAAGUUUAAGGUACCGGAUUUUGAAAAGUACGAUGGGACAAGAUGCCCAAAAGCGCAUCUCAUCAUAUUUUACCGGAAGAUGACUGGUUAUGUGAAUGAAGAUAAGCUACUCAUACAUUGUUUUCAGGAUAGUCUAGUAAGAUCGACUCUUCGAUGGUACAACCAGCUUAGUAGGGAAAAGAUCUGAUCUUGGAAGGACUUGGCGUCAGCAUUCUGUGAGCAGUACAAGCAUGUAUCGGAUAUGGUGCCUGAUCAAAUGACUCUAAAAAUGAUGGGAAAAAACCCAGCAGAAACCUUUAGGCAAUACGCUCAAAGGUGGAGAGAUGUCUUGGCCCAAGUGGAACCCCCGCUAACAAAAACGGAGAUAACCAUCCUCUUUAUCAACACCUUAAAGGAACCGUUUUAUGACAAACUAGUGGGAAGUGCCACGAAGGACUUUGCGGAUAUUGUAAUAUCCGGUGAGCUUAUAGAGAACGCCGUCAAAAGCGGUAGAAUGGAAGAUCAAGAAAGUUCAAGAAGGGUAGCGCCCAUGAAGAAAAAAGAACCAGAAGCCCAUAUGGUGGGAAUGGAAAGCUGUUAUACCCAUAAUUCGUAUCCAAACCAACCCCGACCUCGAAAUUAUCCACCUCCGAAUUUCUAUUAUCCUCCUCAAACCCCUUACUACCAAGCACUGCCUCAUUCCUACCUCGUAUACGCCAUGAAAAAUCAAAGACCCGUCGCCACAUUUCAAUAAAACACUGUACCCGCUCAAAGCCAACCCAGAAACAAACCAAGACCAGUAAGGCCCAAUUCCGAGAGACCACAAUUUACUCCUAUCCCUGUGUCGUAUGAGGAAUUAUACCCAAAACUUUUGAAAAAACAAUUAAUAUCUCCCCAUUACAUGGCACCCUUUAAGCUUCCAUACCCGAAAUGGUACGAUCCAAACGCUAAUUGUGUAUAUCACGUUGGGAACCAGAGACACUCUACGGAAAACUGUCUUGCUUUCAAAAGGAAAGUUUAAGGACUCAUCGAUGCGGGCAUUUUGCGAUUUGAUGGUACUGGCGGUACGGCUGGGAACCCAUUCCCUAACCAUACCGAAGGAAAUGUGAGCGUGGUGGGGAAAGAAGAUGAAUGGUAAGUCAAAAGAUGUGUUUCGGAAAUAAGGACGCCUUUGCAGAAAAUCUGGGAGGUACUGGUUAAGAAGGGAUUGCUCUGUCGCCCCGACAGAAAUCUCAGAGAAGGAGAUCAAGGUUUUUGUAGUUUCUAUAGAAUUGUAGGGCACGACAUUCAGUCGUGUGAGGAAUUUAAAAGGUUACUUCAAGACCGGAUGGAUAAUAAGGAGAUUGGGAUCAUUAAUAAAGGCGAAGAGGCCGAUAGAGGAGAAAUAUGCACCUCUGACAAUCAAUCGUCAGGUUUCCCGUAUAGCGCCGAUCGACCGUUAAUAAUUUAUUACGACGCGAAGAAGGAGCCGGUAAAACCAAAGAUGAUCAUUGAAGUACCAUCUCCUUUCCCUUACAAGGAUGACAAGGCGGUACCGUGGAAAUACGAUAUCAACAUCGUCACACCUGAAGGUGAAAAAUCCGAAACCACAACAGGAGAUGUUGGGGAGGUAGGCCAUUUUACCCGCAGUGGGCGGUGUUAUUUUAAAGAGAUUGAGCCGAUAAAGGAGAACAGUGACUAGAAGCAAAAAGAAAAGGUAGUGAUGUAUGAGGCCAAAGUCGAGCAGGAAACUCCACCCGUGCAAGAAACUAAAAAGCCUGUGGAUGAGGAGGAAGCACAGGAGUUCUUGAAAUUUAUCAAGCACAGUGAAUACAAUGUGGUAGAACAAUUGAAUAAGCAACCAGCACAAAUCUCAAUUUUAUCUCUACUGUUAAAUUUAGAGCCACACCGGAACACAUUGUUAAAAGUGUUGAAUCAAGCUUAUGUAGCAAACAAUAUAUCCGUUGAGAAGCUUGACAGAUGGGUGAAUAAUCUAAACGCAGAUAAUUUCAUUUCUUUUAGUGAUGAUGAAAUGCCACCCAAUGGUAGAGGCUCCGUGAAAGCAUUGCAUAUCACAACCCACUGCAAGGGUUACAUAAUACCGAACGUGCUCAUCGAUAAUGAGUCGGCACUCAAUGUCAUGCCCUUGGCCAUGCUUUCUAGAAUUCCGAUGGAUCUGUCCUAUUUAAGGCCCUGUCAUUCCACAGUAAGGGCAUUCGAUGGGACAAGACAUGAAGUCAUAGGGAAGAUCGAGAUCCCUCUAAAAGUAGGUCCCUAUAUAUAUGAAGUCAAGUUCCAAGUCAUGAACAUUACACCCUCAUAUAACUGCCUUUUGGGAAAACCCUGGCUCCAUUCCACUAGAGCGGUCCCAUCAUCCCUCCAUCAAAAGGUGAAAUUUAUCAUGGAUGGUUGUUUGGUCACUGCCGAGGGAGAAGAAGACAUUGUAGCAUCUAUUUCUACCGACACACCAUACAUUGAAGUGAGUAAAAAUGCUAUAGAAUGUUCCUUCCGAUCCCUUGAAUUUGUCAAUGUCACAUUCGUCGUUGAGGGAAACAAAAUUCCCGUGCCAAAACUGUGGAGAAAUACUAGGAUGAGCAUCAAGAUGACUGUGGGAAGAGGAGCCUGAGCAAGGAAAGGUUUGCAAAGGUACCUGUAAGGAAUAGUCAGGGCUUUAAAGCCAGUACAUCACAAAGCUCGAUACGGUUUAGGGUUCCAACCAGAUGUGCACCAAAGAAGAAAACAAUGGAAGAAAGAUCAAGAAAGAAGGAUCGCAAGAACCUUAGGCUGAGAAAUAGAAUGGGGGCCCAUAACGUACCCUCCUUUGUCAAAAACAUUUACAUCUGCAGGAAUGAUAUACCCCGGUCAAGAUAAUCCACGAAGCACGAUGUUAUUAAUUGAAAGGGGUCUUCAGAAUGUCAGUAUAAAUGUCAUUGACAAAUGAAGUGAUGCAAUUAAAGAUGUUUCAACGAUACGCCCUUGUCCUCUUGGAUUUGUUUUGAACAAUUGGACUGCUGUGGAGCUCCUUGUAGUUUCUAAAUCUUCUCUAGAGUAAUGCUCAAUAUUAACACUAUUCUUUUUGUGUGUCCCUAAGUAAUAGAGGGAUUCUUUUGUAAGAGCUUAUGAUUUGCUCUUUAUCAUUUAAAUGAACAUUAAUGAAGAUGCAUUGUGUCAUAGUCUUUACAUUUUCAUUAACUUCAUAAUUUUUCCCUCUUUUCACAACCUGUCAUUGCAUAUAUCUCACAUUAUGCCUGUUGGUCCCAAUACUUUGAUGCUCCUCUAUAGUUUCCUUUUCUAUUCAACUUUCAGGUGCUCAGAUAUCAAUGGCAUGAACAAACCUGUUACGAGUCCUGAAAUUAAUUUCGAAAAGGCUAUUUGUUUAGGAGAGUUUGAAGUUGAGGGAAAUGUUGAAGACUAUGUCUCGUCUCCUGACUUACUAAGAAUGGUAAAACAAGAAGAUAAACAGAUUCUACCUCAUCAAGAACAUGUUGAGACAGUAAAUUUGGGAACUGAAGAAAGGAAGCAAGAAGUGAAGAUCGGGACCUCUAUUUCAGGGGGCACUAGGCAUAAUUUGAUUGCUUUACUCCGCGAGUAAAAAGAUGUAUUCGCAUGGUCAUAUCAAGACAUACCAGGAUUGGAUGAGGAUGUAGUGGUCCAUAAGCUCCCAUUAAAGUCAGAAUGAAAACUCAUUCAACAAAAGCUAAGACGGAUGAGACCUGAGAUGUUGUUGAAAAUAAAAGAGGAAGUCAAGAAACAGUUUGAUGCUGGCUUCCUACAAGCCUCCAAAUAUCCAGAAUGGGUGGCUAACAUAGUCCCGGUACCAAAGAAAGACGACAAAGUACGAAUGUGCGUGGAUUAUCGUGACUUGAAUCGAGCAAGUCCUAAAGAUAAUUUUCCCUUACCACACAUUAAUACAUUGGUGGAUAACACAACAAAACAUUCAUUAUUUUCCUUCAUAGAUGGAUACUCGGGAUAUAAUCAGAUCAAGAUGGCCCCUGAGAAUAUGGAAAAAACUACCUUCGUAACAAUGUUUCAAGGUGAUGCCAUUUGGGUUAAAAAAUGCUGGGGCAACAUAUUAGAGAGCUAUAGUGACUUUAUUCCAUGACAUGAUGCAUAAAGAAAUAGAGGUCUACGUCGACGAUAUGAUUGCUAAAUCCUGAGGGGAAGAAGAGCAUGUAGUGAACCUCAAGAAGUUGUUCGAAAGGCUGAGAAAGUUUCAGGUAAAGCUUAAUCCAGCUAAAUGUACGUUUGGGGGUACCUUGGGAAAGUUGCUAGGCUUCAUUAUCAGUGAAAGAGGUAUCGAGGUUGAUCCAAAUAAAAUAAAGGCCAUUUAAGAGUUACCACCUCCGCGCACGCAAAAGGAAGUCAGAGGAUUUAUAGGGAGGUUGAACUACAUCACUCGGUUCGUUGCUCAACUUACUAACCAGUAUGACCUAAUCUUUCGGCUUCUUCGAAAACAUAACCCGGGAGAAUGGAAUGAGGAAUGUCAGAUGGCCUUUGAUAAGAUAAAACAAUAUUUGUCUAGUCCUCCAGUGCUAGUACUGUUAACUCCGGGAAGACCAUUGAUAUUGCAUUUGACUGUGUUCGAAAAUUCAAUGGGUUGCGUACUGGGGCAACACGACGAGUCAGGAAAGAAAGAAAAUGUGAUUUACUAUCUCAGCAAAAAGUUCACAGAGUAUGAGGCAAAGUAUUCGUCAUUUGAAAAAUUCUGUUGCGCAUUGGUUUGGGUAGCUCAGAGACUCAGGCAAUAUAUGUUGUAUCAUACGGCAUGGUUAAUUUCAAAGCUGGAUCCAAUAAAGUACAUGAUGGAAUCACCUGCACUCUCAGAAAGAAUGGCACGAUGGCAGAUCUUACUAUCAGAAUACGACAUUGUCCAUGUGAGCCAAAAGUCAAUAAAAGGAAGCGCAAUAGCUGACUUCUUAGCAACUCGAACAAUGGAUGAAUACGAGCCAUUCAAAUUUAAUUUUUCGGAUGAAGACUUAAUGUACAUUACAGAAAAAGAGUGUGAGUUGCCUAAAGAGAAGUCAUGGAAGAUGAGCUUUGAUGGUGCAUCGAACGCAUUGGGGCAUGGGAUUGGAGCAGUCUUAGUAUCACCAGAAGGGAACCAUUAUCCUUUCACUGCCAGAUUAAACUUCUUCUGUACCAAUAACAUAGCGGAAUAUGAGGCUUGUAUCAUGGGACUUCUUGUAGCAAUUGAACGAAAAAUCAAAACUUUAGAGGUAUACGGAGACUCGGUGCUGGUAAUUUACCAAAUCCGUGGAGAUUGGGAAGUAAGAGAUCCGAAAUUAGUCAAAUAUAGUGCUCUAGUGGCGGAACUGAUCAAAGAAUUUAAAGAAGUAACUUUUAGUUACUUCCCACGAGAAGAAAACCAAUUGGCUGAUACCCUGGCCACUUUGACUUCAAUGUUCAAAGCAAAUAGAGAAACAAAAAUAAUUCCUCUGCAAAUGAGCAUAUAUGAAGUCCCUACACAUUGUUUCAGCAUUGGGAAAGAGCUAGAUGGACGGCAAUGGUUCCAUGAUGUCUUAGAAUAUAUCAAGAAUCAAAGGUAUCCCGAACAAGCCAAUGAGAAUGACAAAAGAAUAAUCAGAAGAAUGGCAGCGGGAUUUGUUCUUGAUGGGGACAUCCUGUACAAAAGAGGAAAAGAUCGGGUGCUCUUGAGAUGCGUGGAUGCUAUUGAAGCUAGAAAAAUACUUGAAGAUGUCCAUGAGGGAAUCUGUGGGACACAUGCCAAUGGUUUCACUAUGGCCAGGAAGAUUAUGAGACUCGGUUACUACUAGUUGAUGAUGGAAAGCGACUGCAUAGUUUUGCAACAAAAUGCCACAAAUGUCAAAUUUAUGGCGAUAAGAUUAAUGUGGCCCCUUCGCCCCUUCAUGUUAUGACUUCUCCGUGGACUUUUUCUAUGUGGGGCAUGGAUGUCAUAGGGCCAAUUUCCCUAAAAGCUUCUAAUGGACAUCGAUUCAUCUUUGUGGUUAUUGAUUACUUUACAAAGUGGAUAGAAGUCGCUUCGUUUGCCAACGUGACGAAGACUGCAGUUUGCAAGUUUUUUAAAAGGGAAAUCAUUUCUCAAUAUGGUUUGCCUGAAAGAAUCAUUUCAGAUAACGCCUUGAAUCUGAGCAACAAGAUGAUGAAAGAAGUAUGUGAGCAAUUUCAAAUAAAGCAUCAUAACUCCUCACCCUAUCGCCCAAAAAUGAAUGGAGCUGUUGAAGUGGCCAAUAAGAAUAUUAAGAAAAUCAUUAGGAAAAUGGCCGAGACAUAUAAAGACUAGCACGAGAAGCUACUGUUUGCUUUGUAUGCAUAUCGCACAUCUGUGCGGACUUCUACGGGUGCAACCCCUUUCUCUUUGGUCUAUGGAAUAGAAGCUGUGCUACCCAUCGAAGUUGAGAUCCCCUCUCUACGAGUCUUGAUGGAGUUGAAAUUAGAGGACGCAGAAUGGGUUCGAGCUCGAUAUAACUAGGUGAACCUCAUCGAAGAAAAACGUUUGAAGGCAAUGUGUCAUGGACAGAUGUGUCAGAAGAGAAUGAUCGCAGCCCAUGACAAGAAAGUACGGCCAAGAGAAUUCCACGAAGGAGAACUCGUACUAAGAAAGAUUCUCCCAAUACAAAAAGACCUGUGAGGAAAAUGGGUACCAAAUUGGAAAGGUCCAUACGUUGUAAAGAAGGCAUUCUCGGGUGGAGCUUUGAUUCUCACUGAGAUGGAUGGGAAGGAGUUACCUAAUCCAGUGAAUUCAGAUGCUGUGAAGAAAUAUUAUGCCUAAAAAAAAAGGAGAUCAAGGUGAAAACCCGAAAAGGCCGUCUUGAUUAACAUAAAAGAUUAGGAUGAAAACCCAAAAGGGCAUUCUAAUGAGGCAAACCCGGGCUUAAAGAGCAAGGCGGUUGAAUAGUGGGUUAAACAGCAAGACUAUAAUAUUUGAAGCAUUUUCAGCAGCUCAAAAUCUUCUAAGCAAGAAGUCAUGUUUGAAAAGAUUCUUGAUUAAGAAACAUGGAAGAGUUCAUGUGUUGAAUAUCUAGAGCAUUCGUAUCCAUUGAAUGCGAUCCCAUUUCUCUUUAUGACACUUUUUCUUACUAUCAUUGAUUAACUUUUUCAUUUGCUACAUUUGAAAUAAAUAAAUGUGAGAUACCCUUUUUGUCCCUACCUGACCAAUUUCAUGCACUUCAUUGUAUGAUUUAUUCACAUGAUAAAUAGUGAAAUGACAUACUCUAAACAAAAGAAAUGUUAAGCAUUACCCGGAUAAGAAUUUGAUAAGUACAAGAGCCUCAAUGCAAGGACAAAGUUCAACUAGGGGCAAAAGAGCGAUAUCUGAGAAACGCAGAUUAUUUGUGAAGCUUGAGGACGGGUACAGGGCCUGAAAAGAAAGUCAAGAAUCAAAGCAAUGAACGCAGAUCAUCAAAAAUCAUGACAGAAAGGGACAUAUGACAAACAAGCCCAAGGCUCAUAGCAUGAUCAUGUAGGCAUAAAGGCAUUUAAGACCAACAUGUGCAUAUCAUGAUAACAUCAUGCGUGACAUAUACAGGUACUCCAGCAGAGCAAGAAAUUUUGAAUGAUAGUUAUACUAGAUCAAGGAAGAGACACUUGAGUUCCACCAGAUGAUUUGUUUUGGUAUUCUGAUAUUUUUAUUUCUGUUUCAAAAAUCAACUCGUAUGGCGAGAGGUGAGUUGAGCCUCAGGACACGCUGAGGCAUUUUCAAUUUUUGUUUUUCAAAAAUCGACUCAUAUUGUGAGAGGUGAGUUGAGCCUCAGGGCACGCUGAGGUAUGUUCAGUUUUUGUUUUUUAAUUUAUGUUUCAAAAAAAUCAACUCAUAUUGCGAGAGGUGAGUUGAGCCUCAGGACACGCUGAGGUAUUUUCAAUUUUUGUUUUUCAAAAAAUCGACUCAUAUUGCGAGAGGUGAGUUGAGCCUCAGGGCACGCUGAGGUAUGUUUUGUUUUUGUUUUUUAAUUUAUGUUUCAAAAAAUCAACUCAUAUCGCGAGAAGUGAGUUGAGCUUUAGGGCACGCUGAGGUAUUUUCAAUUUUUGUUUUUCAAAAAUCGACUCAUAUUGCGAGAGGUGAGUUGAGCCUCAGGACACGCUGAGGUAAUUUCAAAUUCUAUUUGUCAAAAAUCAACUCAUAUUGCGAGAAGUGAGUUGAGCCUCAGGGCACGCUGAGGAAUUUUCAAUUCUUGCUUUUCAAUUUCUGCUUUUCAAAAAAAUCAACUCAUAUUGCGAGAGGUGAGUUGAGCCUCGGCUCACAUGCUGAGGUAUUUUCAAUUUCUGUUUUUUUCAAUUUAUAUUUUUCAAAAAUUAACUCAUAUUGCGAGAGGUGAGUUGAGCCUCGGGUCACAUGUCGAGGUAUUUUCAAAAUCUGCUUUUAAGUUUAAAAAACCAACUCAUACUGCGAGAGGUGAGUUGAGCUUUGGCUCACGUGCUGAGCUAUUUUCAAUUUCUGUUUUUAAUGUCUGUUUUUAUAGAGUCAAUUCAUAUUGCGAGAAAUGAGUUGAGCUCAGGAUCACAUGCCAAGUAAAGAAUAAAGAUUGGAGCUGAUUGAAGACACCUGAUUUUGUCUCCCUGAAGUUGCAGUGGAGCUGAUCGAGGAUAUCAGCUCUUGCCUUCCUGAAGUCGUAGAAGAAAAGAUCACAAACCUUAUUUCACUGAAGCGAUAGAAGAGCAGAUUGAAGUUGUAAAUCUCAUCUUUCCGAAGUUACAGUGAAGCAGAUCGAAGCUAGGAACCUCAUACCCAUGAAGAUGUGAGUAGAUUGAAGCUACAAGUCAUAUCAAAAGAUGCAGUGGAUCGAACCAAAGCUAUAAAAUGCGAUGGGUUGGAAAGAGACUAUCUGAACAAGAAGAGCACCAAAGAAGUCAAGACUCAGCAAGACUGGGCAAAAUUGGCCUUUCUUUGUAUCUUUGCUCUAUUCCCGUUACACAACAAUGAACAAAGAGGGGCAACUGUUGUAUGCCAAUUUUGGGCCUGUUUACAUUACAUAAGCCCAUUUACAUUAAACCCUAAGACCCAAAUAUCUAACCCAAACCCGAAUGGCCCAUUACAACCCAUUCCAACCUAAUACCCAUCUAAAUUAACCCACAUAAAACCCAAAUACCCACAACCCAUUACAAACCAAACCCAAUACAGCAAGCCCAAUAUCAUUAACCCCAACUACCCGAAACCCUAGCCCUAUUUUCAGCUCCCACUUGCCUCUGCCACGACCUGCCCACUGCAACCCCAUCUCCUGGCGCCACCUGCCUCGUAGUCACCUCCACCGUUCACCCACCACCUGCAAAGCAAAUAGAGCACGUAAUAGCAACCAAAAAGAGAAACAGACAGUGUAACAAAUCAGAUAUAAAAACCGAAUGGAAACCAUAGCAAAAGGGUUCCUUCUUUUUUAGUGUUUUUAUUUUUUUCAAAUAUUCAGGAAGAAAUCAAUACAUAAGUUAGAUUUCAAUACAUACAAAAGCGGUGAUUCGAACACCCGAAAUCAGAGAAUCAAACAAAUGAAAAUAUCAAACAUCAAAAACCAAUGUGAUUGUUUAUUUUUCGAAUCGAUUUUUUCUUCAUCAUACUCUUAAACAUAUAUAAUAUAUAUACAUACAUAUAUUCGAAAAUAAAAACAAAAAAACAAAAAAAAAAUUACCUUUUCCGGCCACCGUACACGGUGGUCGGCGCCGGCUCUGACGAUCGUCCGAUGACCGGACGGUGACCGGCCCAUGGCCGAAUUCCCUCCCCCUCUCCCUCUUCUCUCCCUUUUUUUUUCUUCUUUCCCCGUUCAAAUGAUUUUUUUUAAAAAAAUUUUGUCUUUUAUAGGGACCAAAACGGUGUGUUUUGGUCCCCUCCAUUUUAACGAAAAACGAUGUCGUUUUGGCCAGGGGUCGAGUCGACCCGACCCACUCCAGCUAGGAUCCGCAUAUUUUUGCUCUUAGGGGCUAUUUGCGCAAUCGGUCAUUCUGCAUUUUUAGUGUUUUAAAUCAGGUUUAUAUUUAUUUACAAAUUGGCCCUGAAGUUUAUUAUGAUUCUCAAAUUGAUCCUCCGUGAUGCGGAUCGUUUUAAAGGUUUUUGAAAAUUACUCUUUUGGCCCCUCCAGGUUACGCACAUGUUGUAAUUUCGUCCUUUUCUUUUAUUUUUAUUUCAAAUCAGCCCUAAAACUUUGGUUUUUAUUCAAUUUUAGUCCUUUUAGUUUAUUUUCAUUCCUUUAUUAUUAAAUUAAUUAAUUUUGAUAAUUUUUUUAUUAUUAUAUUUACUAUUAUUUAUUGUUAUUGGUAUUAUUAUUAUAUGUUUUAUUAUAUACGUAUGAAUAUACUUUUUUUUACCAUUUUACAUUAUUAUAUUUAUUAUUUAUUUCUAACAUAUUAUUAUUUUAUUUUUUUAUAUCAUCAUUAUAUUUAAUUUGUGCUUAUAUGUUAUAUUUUCUCUUUUUACUUUUAUAUUUACUAUUUUCAUUAUAUUUACUUAUUAUUAUUAUUAAUUAUGUAUAUAUAUUUUUAAAUCCCAUGUUAUGUAUAGACAUUUCUAAUAUGUAUUUCUUUAAAUGAUAUUAUUACAUAUAUAUUUUAGUACAUAUAUAUGUGUACUUGUGUGAAUAUUCUUUUAGCAUGUGCUACAUAUAUAUAUAUAUUUUUUAUUCUAGUAUGUAUAUUUCUAAUAUUAUAUUACGUUUUCAUAUAUAUAUUAUGUAUAUACUUUGGUAUCAUAAUUAUAUAUUUUUAUACGAUCUUAUGUACAUAUAUUUACACGCAUAUAUUUUCUUUUAUAUAUUAUGUAUAUGCAUUUUUUAUAUAUGUAUAUGUUUAUACUAUAUUAGUUAGUUUUAUACUAUCUUAUGUGUACAUUUUGAAUACUAUGCUAUGUAUGUAUUCUAAAUACUACAUUUUAUAUAUAUUAUCGUACUUCAAUACUAUUAUUAUGUAAUAUAUAUACAUAUAUACGCCUAUGUAGAUGUAGUAUUAUUAGUAUUUUUAAUAUUACAUUUUCUGUCACCUUACAUAUUAUUAUAUAACAUAUGUAUAUAUAUAAUCCAUUAUUUUCUUUCGUGUUUAAUGUUAUUAUUAUCGUGCAUAAUAUCAAAUACAUCGUGAAUACUUUAUAGUUAUUUUUUUAUCAUCCGCUUCAUGUAUUCGUAAAUCGCCUUUUAUUACAAUAUUGUUAUAAGUUUCUAUUAUUUUUGAUAAAAAAAAUAUUCUUAUUCAUGAUUUAAAUCAAUUUCAAUAAGCAAGGCAACGUACCGAUUUAACAUUAAGUCAUCGCUAUGUUGGGUGAACAUCAAUCGACUCGUGUUAAAGACGGAACACUCUUCUAAAAAAUCCGAAAAACUAAAAAAUUCUCGUCUUUUCAAUCAGAUCACGAUUAAAUGUUACAUUGAACUCGUAUUUUUGAAAAUCAAGACAACAAGUGUUUAACAAGAUACAAAUUUUGGGCGUCGCGAGGGUGCUAACACCUUCCUCGCACGUAACUGACUCCCGAACCCUACUUUUUCUCUGGCUUUUAACGUAGACCUAAACUCUGCCUUCUUUUCAUUUAAAAAAAUGAAUUUUCUCUCAAAAGAAGAAUGAUUUAUUAGGUGUCCGAUCACACCUAGAAAAAAGAUCAGUGGCGACUCCCUCUUUAUUUUAAAAUCAAACUUCAGUUUUCAAGUUUUCACUAAAUCACCACAAUUAGCGACCAAGCUAAAAUUUUUACGUCGCUACAAAAUUAAUAAAACAUGUAAACAUCAAAAACUAAAAUUAAUGUUAUAUUAAUUAAAAUUAUGUGAGGAUGGUGGUUUUUUUUAAAAAAAAUUUAAAAUUAAAAUAUGAAUUUCAUUUCCGCGUAUGUAUAGUUCCUACCUUGCAAGUGGAAUCACAUGAAUGAGUGCCCAACACCAAAAACAGCCAUAAAAUAAGAAUAGCAACAUAUGGUCAAAGGUACCCCAACUUGUGAAUAAGAUAAAAAUAAGUUGUUAAAAACCUUUAAAUUUUUUAUGCUUUCAAUAUCACCAAAUUCAUCUUUUCUCAUUACUGCCAUCAUCAAAUUAUUAUUAUUAUCAUCAUAAUUUUUAUUUAAUUUAAACUUUGAAAAGUGAUCAUAAUUGGUAGAUUUCUAUCGACCUAAUUGUGUUUGUCGGUGUAAAAAAUACAUAAUUUAAAUCUCAUAUGUGUAUUUGUAUUUGUUUUUCUGUAAAUGUUUUGUUGAGAAGUCACAAUCGUAAUUGAUAGUUACAUUUAUAUAUUAGAAAUUGGGAUCUCAAAAGUCUCCUCUUUAUUAUUAAACUAAGCUCUCAUUGGUACCACCAAAAUUUCAUUGGCAUCCUGUUAUGAUUAAUAUUUACUUGAUUUCGAGUAUAAUUUUUUAGAAAACACAAAUAGUAAAUUAAAAAUAACAUAAGCAAUUAUAAAUAUUAUAUUUCAACACCAAUUUUUGAUUUAAUUGGUUUUUAACAGUAAUUAAUUAAUUAAAAUUUUAUAAAAUUAAUAAAAAUAUUAAAAAUUAAUAAAUAGAUUGAACCGUUGAUUUUUUAUUUACCAAUUUAAUCUUGAUCUAAUCAAUCGGGACUAGUUUUAACCACAUUCAUAAUACAAUGGAAUGCAGCUAGAAAACGUGACCUUAAAACAAGGAUCAUGAGCAGGUAAAAUUUGCUUUAGAAAUUGAAAAUAGGAAGGGAACAAAACAUCGUGGAGAGCAAGUCAAAGUGGAAUGCUGGUUUCAAAGAUUUGACAUUUUUAGCUACAUAACUCCUGCAGCUGACAUCGACACCAAAUCCUAGUUUAAACCUCUAAUUAUGUAAUAAGCUGCAAAAUUUCCGCUUCUCAAACAGAUGGCGGGGUAGUGGGGACCUUGCAUUGAUAAGGUUAGGUAAACACAUGAUAGCAAUCGAAAGUACCCGACGCAGUACUAUAUGAAAUUAAUUAAAAUGUUACAUAAAAUAUAAUAUCAUGCAGAAAAAAGAUAUUAAAAGAAUAUGCUAAGAUGUCAAAUUUUAUAUAAUAAAUUAAUAUUUGCGACAUUAUGACAUAUAUUCUAAAAAUAAUGCAAUAUUUAUUUUUGAAAAAAAUCAUAAUAUUUUUUUAUGUAUUGCUUAACUUUGUCUUUACUUGUUUGGCAAAACUAAAGGAGAAUAAAAUUAGUCAGAUAACAAUAAAUUUGAAAAAGAUUGAGAGUGAUAAAAUUGCAUAGUUUUCUAGCCAAUUUUCUUUAAGGUGAUGCAUUUUUUUCCCUCCUUUUUAGUUCAUCUGAAUGACAUUGUAAUUAGCAUUUUGGAGGGAUAUUGCAUUUGGCAUCAUCUAUGUUAUUGAAUUUGAAUUUGUUAGUGUUUGAUAGCAGUAUGAUUUAAAUAUUAAUAUGUUAAAUUUUUUUUUUUUAAAGUUGGAGCAUUGUUGAAGGAUCAUAUCUCAUAUCUAUAUCUAAAAAUGCGUCACAUAGAGUGUCAAACAUGCAUGAAACAUGAAGGGUCAGAGUAACAUACAGCAUUGCCUUACAUUUAUUUGUGUUAUGUUAGGCCAAUAUAAUUGCCACCGUUUCUCCAUGCAUGUAGUGGAACUUAAGUAAUGUUGUGUUGAUUUGGACCUAUUUUGGAUGAACAAAUGGCAUGCACAUGCGUGAGAAUACAAGAAUGUCUAUGAUAAGUAAUCCUGCAGUUUGCAUUUGGAAUAUAUCUGUUGAAAUCAGGAUAUUGCUCAUUGAGAAACAAGAAGACAUAAAAUAAGCAUUCCAAUGAGUACUGCCAUUGGCAUUCUCGCUGGUAAAAGAAAACAUUACAACAUGACAUACAAGAAAAUGGAACAUGAGUAGGAAGCAACUCUUAUUGUAUAGAUACUAAUUUUUCUAUAUAGCCAUAGUAGCUCAGUUCUUGGGAUGGCUAGCCGAUGGGAUCUCUCUAUUGAGGCUUCCCCAAUGGAGGGUGUCCUGGAUAGUGACCGUAUGGUGGUUUCUUGGGAGACUCAUGUACCGGUGGUUUAGAUUUUGGCUUCUCUUUCUUUGGUGGUGUGUAAACCGGUGGCUUUGGUGGUUUAGGCUCAUAAACCGGUGGCUUCUUCGGAGGCUGAUAAACUGGUGGUUUGGGUUCUGGUUUUUCUUUCUUUGGAGGUGCAUAAACUGGUGGCUUUGGCUCGGGCUUUUCCUUCUUUGGCGGUUCAUACACUGGUGGCUUAGGUUCAAGCUUCUCUUUCUUUGGUGGUGUAUAAACUGGUGGCUUAGGCUCAGGCUUUUCCUUCUUUGGUGGUUCAUACACUGGUGGCUUGGGUUCAGGCUUCUCUUUCUUUGGUGGUGUAUAAACUGGUGGCUUAGGCUCAGGCUUUUCCUUCUUUGGUGGUUCAUAUACUGAUGGUUUGGGUUCAGGCUUCUCUUUCUUUGGAGGUGUAUAAACUGGUGGCUUUGGUUCGGACUUUUCCUUCUUUGGUGGUUCAUACAUCGGUGGCUUGGGUUCAGGUUUUUCUUUCUUUGGAGGUUCAUAGACAGGUGGCUUAUGUUCAGGUUUUUCUUUCUUUGGAGGUUCAUAGACAGGUGGCUUAUGUUCAUAAGGUGGGGGUUUCACCUUAGGAGGCUUAUAAACAGGAGUAGGGGG
This 23678-nucleotide long non-coding RNA is filed under the name Gossypium barbadense (sea-island cotton). RNAcentral's name for it is "long non-coding RNA (GBAR_LNC001118)". The record is from RNAcentral. Lineage: Eukaryota; Viridiplantae; Streptophyta; Magnoliopsida; Malvales; Malvaceae.